RNAcentral lists this long non-coding RNA (2470 nucleotides) under Homo sapiens (human). RNAcentral's name for it is "HSALNT0061707". Lineage: Eukaryota; Metazoa; Chordata; Mammalia; Primates; Hominidae. The record is from RNAcentral.
AUGUUGGCCAGGCUGGUUUUGAACUCCUGACCUCAUGUUAUGUCCGGCUCGGCCUCCCAAAGUGCUGGGGUUACAGGCCUGAGCCACCACACCUGGCCCAAUCUGAUGGUUUUAAAAAUGGGAGUUUCCCUGCACAAGCUCUCUCUUUGCCCGCUGACAUCCAUAUAAGAGGAGCUAUUGAGAGAGGAAACCUGGAAGAAUGCAAAACACCUUCAAAUCUGGAAAACGCUUUUUCAAGCUAAUCUCCUGUAGCAGAGUUGUAGCAAACUCAUGGUUUGCUAGGAUCUAAGGUGGAUUGCAAGUUUCACAUGAGUGGUAUGCAGGGUGUGAAGUCAGGGGAGGUGGGUUUCAACCUAAGCCCUAUUGGCUAGUUGAAUAAAAGCAUGUAAUCUACUUUAAACACACCUGAGUCACGAUAAAGAGGUAUUAUAUUUUAAUGUGAUUCAUGCUUGUAUAGGUUGCAUGUGUUUGUAUUAGUAAGUGGUUUGUGUUUAUCUUGUUUAUUCACAUUGCACCUGUUCAGGCUUUAAAAUGUUAUCAUGCUUUUUCUCUCUGAUCUACAACCAAACUCCGUGCUCAGAAUUCUUCUCAUUCUUUAACAUUUAUCUUUUAAUUCACCUUCUAUGAAAGACCAUGUCCAGGUAUCCUAGCCAGUGUUUUCUCUCACCUCUAAACCUGAUAACCACAUAUUCCACUUAUGCAAUCGCUAACAUACCUAUCAGAUUUACAUUUCUUAGAGAACAGGAAGGCAUUUGAAGUACACUUAAUGUUCUUUCAAAAAAUUCAGUACUCUCUACACAGUGGCUGAAAUUUGAUAAUUGGUUGACAAAAGAUGGUUAAAAGAGAUUUAUAAAAGAGGAAAGUAAUCUGCAAAUCCGCUUAGUGAAGAAUUUUCUCUACUCCAAAUGAAUGUCAGGUUAGAUUAAUUUGGUUCCUCGAUUUGGAGACUUCUUCAAUUCCUUAAAAUGUUCCCAAAUCCUGUUCUCUUUUUUUGUUGAAUUGUAUUAUCUGUUUUAAAGUCUCAUUUCAUUACUUUGCUCUCCUUUUCCACAGCCUUUCCAUGCAGUAAUUGUUAAUAAACUUCACCUGUAAAUUCAUCCCUGCAGCAUUCUGGAGUCAGGGCAGAUGGUGUAUCAGAAACCUCAGCCUCCUUAGCUGUAAAAUCACAGUGCUCUCUUUGGUAUAGUUAGACCCUAAAAUUAACAUGCCAAGGCUGAACCUUGGUGUCAUUUGAACCUUCAUUGCUAGUAGUUUGCCUAAUUCUUGUCUCAACCUCCCCUGAAGGAAGAGGGCAUUUCUGAGUCCUGUGAUCCUAUCAAGACCUGACAUUCACCUCAUUCCUGUUAGCACCAUCUAUUUUGGACCACUCUUGCUCUUUCUAGUUACUUGACUCUACAUCUCAAUUCGUCAUCCAGUACUGCCUUGCAAUACUACUAACUUUUUCUAAUAGGUUUAAUUACUCACAUUUAAAAUAGUUAUACUUUUUCUUGCUUCAAAUUUCCAACAUAUUCUUCAUUUCCUCUGCCUUCAAUAUGAGCUGAUGACAGUUUCUUAUCUUUCGGUGGGAAAAAAAGAGUUUCUUCAUUUCCCAGAUGAAAUCUACAAAACUAUAGUGAUUUAGAUGCAUCAUCUCCUUCUUCCCAUCUGUAACAGUAAAGGAAGGGCCCUCGUCAUGGCCUGUUAGGCUUUGCAUGGUCUGACCCCUGUUUGCCUCUGCAAUUUCCUCUUAUAAGUACCUACCUAAAUACUCACUAUACUCCAGCUUCUAUCUGGAAUACUCUAUUUUCUAAUUUUUUAAAAUUUAUUUUUAUUUUUUAUUUUUGAGAUGGAGUCUCACUCUGUCACCCAUGGUGGAGUGCAGUGGCACAAUCUCGGCUCAGUGCAGCUUCCGCCUCCUGGGUUCAAGUGAUUCUCCUCAGCCUCCCAAGUAGCUGGAAUUACAGGCACCCACUACCAUGCCCGGCUAGUAUUUUGGAAUUUUUAGUAGAGACGGGGUUUCGCCAUGUUGGCGAGGCUGGUCUCGAACUCCUGAACUCAGGUAAUCCACCUGCUUCAGCCUCCCAAAGUACUGGGAUUACAAGCAUGAGCCACCAUUCCUGGCCUAUGUGGAAUACUCUUGUCUGUCUUUUCAUGACUACCUUUCUCCCUUUCAUUGGGACCCAUUUUAAAUGUCACUACCUCAGAGAUUGUUUUCCUGGUCACCCAAUCUAAAGUAGAUAAUCCACUGUUAUUCUUUUAUACCUCAGUCUGUUAUUUUUUCCUGCAAAGUACCUGUACUUCAUCAGUUGCCUCCACUAGAUUGGAAUUCUUCAAGGCAGGGACAUGUGUCUCACUGUUCUAGUGCUUACUGUUCUAGCAUAUAACUCAAUAUUGGAUAAAGGGCUGAAUGCUAUUUCUCAAACUGUGAUAUAUGGACCUGCCAUCACCACCUCACCCUGUGCCUCCUACACACCCUAAUUCAAAUGGGCUU